This 377-nucleotide ribosomal RNA is filed under the name uncultured eukaryote. Its description in RNAcentral is "partial 18S ribosomal RNA". It matches the Rfam family "Eukaryotic small subunit ribosomal RNA", at positions 592 to 976 of the family's 1831-position model. The record is from RNAcentral.
CAAUAGCGUAUAUUUAAGUUGCUGCAGUUAAAAAGCUCGUAGUUGGAUUUCGGGUGAGAAUGGCCGGUCCGCCGUUUCGGUGUGCACUUGCUACGCCCACCUUGCUGCCGGGGACGUGCUCUUGAGUUCACGCUCGGGACACGGAGUCGGCGAGGUUACUUUGAGUAAAUUAGAGUGUUCAAAGCAGGCCUACGCUCUGAAUACAUUAGCAUGGAAUAACACGAUAGGACUCUGGCCUAUCUUGUUGGUCUGUAGGACCGGAGUAAUGAUUAAGAGGGACAGUCGGGGGCAUUCGUAUUUCAUUGUCAGAGGUGAAAUUCUUGGAUUUAUGAAAGACGAACUACUGCGAAAGCAUUUGCCAAGGAUGCUUUCAUCAA